Molecule: non-coding RNA, 77 nt
Organism: Podarcis lilfordi (Lilford's wall lizard)
Lineage: Eukaryota; Metazoa; Chordata; Lepidosauria; Squamata; Lacertidae
Source: the annotation of a GenBank genome assembly
CUUCCAGUAGCACCUUAGAGACCAACUAAGUUUGUUAUUGGUAUGAGCUUAGUUGGUCUCUAAGGUGCUACUGGAAG